AUUCGAAGCAACGCGAAGAACCUUACCAGGUCUUGACAUCCUCUGACAACCCUAAGAGAUAGGGCUUUCCCUUCGGGACAGAGUGACAGGUGGUGCAUGGUUGUCGUCAGCUNCGUGUCGUGAGAUGUUGGGUUAAGUUCCCGCAACGAGCGCAACCCUUGAUCUUAGUUGCCAGCAUUCAGUUGGGCACUCUAAGGUGACUGCCGGUGACAAACCGGAGGAAGGUGGGGAUGACGUCAAAUCAUCAUGCCCCUUAUGACCUGGGCUACACACGUGCUACAAUGGACAGAACAAAGGGCUGCAAGACCGCAAGGUUUAGCCAAUCCCAUAAAUCUGUUCUCAGUUCGGAUCGCAGUCUGCAACUCGACUGCGUGAAGCUGGAAUCGCUAGUAAUCGCGGAUCAGCAUGCCGCGGUGAAUACGUUCCCGGGCCUUGUACACACCGCCCGUCACACCACGAGAGUUUGCAACACCCGAAGUCGGUGAGUAACCUUUAUGGAGGGCAGCCCGCCGAAUGGGG
This 519-nucleotide ribosomal RNA is filed under the name Bacillus safensis. RNAcentral's name for it is "bacterial SSU rRNA". It matches the Rfam family "Bacterial small subunit ribosomal RNA", at positions 949 to 1464 of the family's 1533-position model. The record is from RNAcentral. Lineage: Bacteria; Bacillati; Bacillota; Bacilli; Caryophanales; Bacillaceae.